ACCCGGCUGACUUAAGCAUAUCAAUAAGCGGAGGAAAAGAAACCAACAGGGAUUGCCCCAGUAACGGCGAGUGAAGCGGCAAUAGCUCAAAUUUGAAAUCUGGCUCUUUUAGGGUCCGAGUUGUAAUUUGCAGAGGGCGCUUUGGCGUUGGCAGCGGUUCAAGUUCCUUGGAACAGGACGUCACAGAGGGUGAGAAUCCCGUACGUGGUCGCUAGCCUUCGCUGUGUAAAGCCCCUUCGACGAGUCGAGUUGUUUGGGAAUGCAGCUCUAAAUGGGAGGUAAAUUUCUUCUAAAGCUAAAUACUGGCCAGAGACCGAUAGCGCACAAGUAGAGUGAUCGAAAGAUGAAAAGCACUUUGGAAAGAGAGUCAAAUAGCACGUGAAAUUGUUGAAAGGGAAGCGCUUGCAGCCAGACUUGCCCGCAGUUGCUUAUCCAGACUUUGGUCUGGUGCACUCUUCUGUGGGCAGGCCAGCAUCAGUUUGGGCGGUUAGAUAAAGGUCUCUGUCAUGUACCUCUUUUCGGGGAGGCCUUAUAGGGGAGACGACAUGUAACCAGCCUGGACUGAGGGCCGCGCAAUUUAUUGCUAGGAUGCUGGCGUAAUGGCUGUAAGCGGCCCGUCUUGAAACACGGACCAAGGAGUCUAACAUCUAUGCGAGUGUUUGGGUGUCAAGCCCAGACGCGUAAUGAAAGUAAACGGAGGUAAGAACCCUUUGGGUGCAUUAUCGACCGAUCCUGAUGUCUUCGGAAGGAUUUGAGUAAGAGCAUGGCUGUUGGGACCCGAAAGAUGGUGAACUAUGCUUGAAUAGGGUGAAGCCAGAGGAAACUCUGGUGGAGGCUCGCAGCGGUUCUGACGUGCAAAUCGAUCGUCAAAUUUGGGCAUAGGGGCGAAAGACUAAUCGA
Molecule: ribosomal RNA, 900 nt
Filed under: Nodulosphaeria spectabilis
Lineage: Eukaryota; Fungi; Ascomycota; Dothideomycetes; Pleosporales; Phaeosphaeriaceae
Description: LSU rRNA
Rfam family: Eukaryotic large subunit ribosomal RNA
Source: RNAcentral